This 449-nucleotide ribosomal RNA is filed under the name uncultured bacterium. Its description in RNAcentral is "partial 16S ribosomal RNA". It matches the Rfam family "Bacterial small subunit ribosomal RNA", at positions 29 to 523 of the family's 1533-position model. The record is from RNAcentral.
AACGAACGCUGGCGGCAUGCCCAACACAUGCAAGUCGAACGAAGCCUUCGGGCUUAGUGGCGCACGGGUGCGUAACGCGUGGGAAUCUGCCCUUUGGUUCGGAAUAACAGUUGGAAACGACUGCUAAUACCGGAUGAUGACGAAAGUCCAAAGAUUUAUCGCCAGAGGAUGAGCCCGCGUAGGAUUAGCUAGUUGGUGUGGUAAAGGCGCACCAAGGCGACGAUCCUUAGCUGGUCUGAGAGGAUGAUCAGCCACACUGGGACUGAGACACGGCCCAGACUCCUACGGGAGGCAGCAGUGGGGAAUAUUGGACAAUGGGCGAAAGCCUGAUCCAGCAAGGCCGCGUGAGUGAUGAAGGCCCUAGGGUUGUAAAGCUCUUUUACCCGGGAUGAUAAUGACAGUACCGGGAGAAUAAGCCCCGGCUAACUCCGUGCCAGCAGCCGCCGUAA